AACGAACGCUGGCGGCAUGCCUAACACAUGCAAGUCGAACGAUACCUUCGGGUCUAGUGGCGCACGGGUGCGUAACGCGUGGGAACCUGCCCUUAGGUUCGGAAUAACUCCCCGAAAGGGGUGCUAAUACCGGAUAAUGUCUUCGGACCAAAGAUUUAUCGCCUUUGGAUGGGCCGGCGUUGGAUUAGCUAGUUGGUAGGGUAAAAGCCUACCAAGGCGACGAUCCAUAGCUGGUCUGAGAGGAUGAUCAGCCACACUGGGACUGAGACACGGCCCAGACUCCUACGGGAGGCAGCAGUGGGGAAUAUUGGACAAGGGGCGAAAGCCUGAUACAGCAAUGCCGCGUGAGUGAUGAAGGCCUUAGGGUUGUAAAGCUCUUUUAACCGGGAUGAUAAUGACAGUACCGGGAGAAUAAGCUCCGGCUAACUCCGUG
Molecule: ribosomal RNA, 433 nt
Filed under: uncultured bacterium
Lineage: Bacteria
Description: partial 16S ribosomal RNA
Rfam family: Bacterial small subunit ribosomal RNA
Source: RNAcentral